This 253-nucleotide ribosomal RNA is filed under the name uncultured bacterium. Its description in RNAcentral is "partial 16S ribosomal RNA". It matches the Rfam family "Bacterial small subunit ribosomal RNA", at positions 524 to 776 of the family's 1533-position model. The record is from RNAcentral.
GACAGAGGAUGCAAGCGUUAUCCGGAAUGAUUGGGCGUAAAGCGUCUGUAGGUGGCUUUUCAAGUCCGCCGUCAAAUCCCAGGGCUCAACCCUGGACAGGCGGUGGAAACUACCAAGCUGGAGUACGGUAGGGGCAGAGGGAAUUUCUGGUGGAGCGGUGAAAUGCGCAGAUAUCAGGAGGAACACCAAUGGCGAAAGCAGCUCGCUGGGACGGUACUGACGCUGAGACGCGAAAGCGUGGGGAGCAAACAGG